RNAcentral lists this ribosomal RNA (496 nucleotides) under uncultured bacterium. Its description in RNAcentral is "partial 16S ribosomal RNA". It matches the Rfam family "Bacterial small subunit ribosomal RNA", at positions 30 to 507 of the family's 1533-position model. The record is from RNAcentral.
ACGAACGCUGGCGGCGUGCCUAAUCCAUGCAAGUUGAGCGCUGAAGGUUGGUACUUGUACCAACUGGAUGAGCAGCGAACGGGUGAGUAACGCGUGGGGAAUCUGCCUUUGAGCGGGGGACAACAUUUGGAAACGAAUGCUAAUACCGCAUAAAAACUUUAAACACAAGUUUUCAGUUUGAAAGAUGCAAUUGCAUCACUCAAAGAUGAUCCCGCGUUGUAUUAGCUAGUUGGUGAGGUAAAGGCUAACCAAGGCGAUGAUACAUAUCCGACCUGAGAGGGUGAUCGGCCAAAAUGGGAAUGAGACACGGCACAAAAUACUAGGGGAGGCAGCAGGAGGGAAUCUUCGGCAAUGGACGAAAGUCGGAACGAGCAAAGCCGCGUGAGUGAAGAAGGUUGUCGGAUCGUAAAACUCUGUUGGUAGAGAAGAAAGUUGGUGAGAGUGGAAAGCUCAUAAAGUGACGGUAACUAAACAGAAAGGGACGGCUAACUACGUG